UUGUGGAGGAGGACGCCGAAGGUGGGGCUAAUGACUGGGGUGAAGUCGUAACAAGGUAGCCGUACCGGAAGGUGCGGCUGGAUCACCUCCUAACAGGGAGACAACAAAAUGUUUAAUAUUAUUAUUUUGUCACCUUAGGUCGAUCGGUAUCUCACGUUCUUAAUUUAUUAAGAAUUUCAUUUCCUAAGUUUUUCUAGGUCACACCCAUUAUUUUUCCUGGGCCAUUAGCUCAGGUGGUUAGAGCGCACCCCUGAUAAGGGUGAGGUCCCUGGUUCAAGUCCAGGAUGGCCCAUAUCUCUAUGUUGGGGGUAUAGCUCAGUUGGUAGAGCGCCUGCUUUGCAAGCAGGAUGUCAGCGGUUCGAGUCCGCUUACCUCCACUGAUUACCACCUCUUCCAUAACCGGUAGAAAGGAAAUGUUUUGAGUUGUGAUAAUUAUUCUGAACGAAUCUAGCUUCCUAAUGAAAUCAUUAAGAUGCUGGACUCAUUGAAUUAAUUUCGUUGUUUUCAGAGAACCUUGACAACUGCAUAGAUUAUUUUUAAAGACAAUAAGCAUUUUUAAUGAUGCAGAUUUAUUAUUUGUGCGAAUGCAUUAAUAACAAUUCUAUUAAGCUGAUGCUUCAAUUGUUUAAGUUAUUGGUCAAGCUACAA
RNAcentral lists this unclassified non-coding RNA (648 nucleotides) under uncultured Prochlorococcus sp. Its description in RNAcentral is "partial 16S-23S ribosomal RNA intergenic spacer; may also contain 16S ribosomal RNA and 23S ribosomal RNA". The stretch from base 305 to 377 matches the Rfam family "tRNA". Lineage: Bacteria; Bacillati; Cyanobacteriota; Cyanophyceae; Synechococcales; Prochlorococcaceae. The record is from RNAcentral.